UAUUGCCUACGGGACGCAGCAGUGAGGAAUAUUGGUCAAUGGGCGGGAGCCUGAACCAGCCAAGUCGCGUGAGGGAAGACGGUCCUAUGGAUUGUAAACCUCUUUAGGCGGGGAGCAAUGCCGGGCACGCGUGCCCGGAGGGAGAGUACCCGCAGAAUAAGCAUCGGCUAACUACGUGCCAGCAGCCGCGGUAAUACGUAGGUGGCAAGCGUUGUCCGGAUUUACUGGGUGUAAAGGGCGUGUAGCCGGGCUGACAAGUCAGAUGUGAAAUCCGGGGGCUCAACCCCCGAACUGCAUUUGAAACU
This 305-nucleotide ribosomal RNA is filed under the name uncultured bacterium. RNAcentral's name for it is "bacterial SSU rRNA". It matches the Rfam family "Bacterial small subunit ribosomal RNA", at positions 333 to 634 of the family's 1533-position model. The record is from RNAcentral.